Long non-coding RNA from Tympanuchus pallidicinctus (lesser prairie-chicken), 21718 nucleotides. RefSeq lists it as uncharacterized. NCBI's taxonomy places the organism in Eukaryota, Metazoa, Chordata, Aves, Galliformes, Phasianidae. The record is from RefSeq and is a predicted model, not a curated record. The transcript has 5 exons.
GGGGCGGCUGGGAGCGGGGAGCUGCGUGCCGCAAGUUUUGCCCGGAGUGCCAAAGUUGGGCUCGGCUCAGGUUCUUGGAAACUUGAGGAGCAAUCUUCAGUCCCUGAAGAAUGCAGUUCUCACCGGAUGUGUGUAUCCUACAUUAAAGAGAACAGAAGCAGGAUCAGCUGGUGUCCAGGAAAGACAACUUCAGGAGAUUCGGGAGCACUCUGGAGUGAACCAGGAGGAAGCCUUGAACUACAGUUGUGUCAAUAAGAGUGGCUGUCCUUGGGAGAUGCUGAAGCUCAGCUUUAUGAUGGACUUAUCUUUUGCCUCUCAACAUGUGCACAAAGGACUGAAUUUUGUUUGGGAUUCAUAUGGUAUGAAAGAGUCAUGGCUGUAUGGUUUCUUCCUCCUUUCACUUAAGUCUGUACGUUUCCUGCAGUCAGUAAUGAAGUCUGUACAAGGUCUGCUGACAUUUGGUCUGCUUUCAAGAGCUCUGAGUGACAGGUACUGUAAACAUCCUACACUCUCAGCUGUGGAAACUAAGAAAGCUGGGAGAAGGCUGUUUACUCUCCCUGCCUUGGAAAUCAUCUGGAGGGUGAGGAUGGAACAUUGUGAGCUGUGUGUUCAUUGUAUUUCUGACAGCCUGUAUUUCUUAUUUUAUGUUUGGUGUCAGUAAACAAAUAAUAGCAUUAUAUCAUGCCAUCAGGCUCUUGCAUUCUGACUAAGGCUUGAACUCAUAAUAAUAACUUAAAAAAGGUCCUUCUUUACAAUGUACUUACUUGCAGUCCUGGCUUGAUGGAAACUAAUGAUAGCAGUAACAUGCAACAAGGCCUUCAUCCUUAAAUACUGGGUAAAGCAGACCUAUUUUACUGUUUGUUCACAAGUUAGUGUGCAUGUUUUCAGGUUCACACGUCAAUGGUGUAUUUUGUUCAAGUCUUCCUUAAAUGUUUGGAUCUUGUGUUCACUCAAUUUGUUUUCCUACCUAGAGGGACUAGAAACAGAUGUCUGAAGGCAAAAAAAAAGAGUUCUAGGGGAUUUCAAGUUUCUGUUCCUAUUUGAAGAAAUUGAGAUAUCAACCCCAAUUAGCUCUAUUUAGAAAUAAACUGAAUUAAAUAUGCAGAAGUAUUUAGCUUGGAUUUUAUACUGGCUCUUCUGUGCCACUUGCCAUCCAGACUGAAUUAUUUGUUGUACUUUUCUUGGCAAUUUUUCUUCCUUUUCUUGUUUCUUUGUAUUUCCCAUUAGUUAAGUAGGGCUUCUCAUUUUAAAUGCAGAAUAACUUUUUUCUUGAAUUUUAAAUCUAAAAUCCUACUGGCAUGGUCUAUAUCCUCAUAAAAUGUACUUUUACAGCUAUUCUUAAGCUGUGAUGUUGGCAGAAACGCAAUGAUUUGUGCACUUUUUUAAAAUUUAUUGGAGAGGGGCAUCUUUUGUGCUUUUGAAGAAGUUUUUCAUAAUGCAGUUAAAUUCAAAGAUAACCUUUUUUGCUCUAUCAUCAUAUUUAAAUAUCUGCUACUUUAGAUUUUUAGUAAAGGUAUUUAAAGAAAAAGCUCUGAUAUGAGAUGUCCUAAAGGUUUUAAAUAAUUUGGGAAGUGAUGAAAAUGUAGAGAGAACAGCAGAAUGGUAGAUCUAGUAAGGUUUUGAAAUAGUACUUCUACAAAGUGGUCAAAAAAAGGAAUUUGAGCAGGCAGAUCUCUAAAGAAAAAAAGGGGGAAAAAGUCCAUGUUUUGAAGCAGUAAUUAUUUAGGAAAAGGAAAUGGAGGGGAAAAAAACACAGGGUUCAGUAAAGUACUAUAGACAGGAUUUAAGAUGAUGAGAUGAUGUCUGACUGUACAUAAGCACCAGUUCUUCAGGUUUAUGAGAUUUUGGCUCUUGAUAUGUCUAGCGAUACUAGAAGUGAGGUCAGUCUUAUAAAAAUAUGGUUUUGUGGAGAAAUAAGCUGUUGAGAGUAGUGAAACGAUAGAGGGUAGCAUUUCCUAACAGACAUGGUUCCCUUGGCAGAGAUCUCCAAGAGUGAUGGAGCACAGAAUUCUAUCCUCAUCGUAAUCGAUAAUUCUGAUUGUAGGCUGUGCUGUUGAGAUCAGACAGUUUCUUGAAAGGAGGCAUCAGCUUUAAUGUGUUUUACUGUUUUUUAUUUUUAAUUUAGAUUUGCUUUAGGCUAGGAACUGUUAUUUUCUGUCAAAUAGAAAAAAAAACUUUGUUUAACGUUAUCUAUUUGUUGUCUAAUGAUGAAAUUCCAUCUUUGAUUUUAUCUGUGUAAGUUGGGACUGUUGAAGCUUUUCUCAUACAUUUUUCCUUGGCCAUUCUUUCCUAUGUCUUCACUUGUGCUGGUAUUCAUGUUUGCUUAAACUGUGAGCUUAGUUCAGUGGCUUGACUCAGCUGAAAAUUAAACAAGCAAACCAGCUUUUAUUUGGACCAUAUGAGAUAACAGCUUACUGCACUACUGUGAUGCUGUGGCCAAAAUGCUAGUACCUUCAAAUAUGAUCACCUUUCUAAAGGGCCAGAACAGCUUUUCCUGUAAAUAAGACCAUCAAAUCCUAAUGCAAUAAGCGGGUGAAAAUAAAGGGUUUUAAUUUUACAUGGUUUUUGUAUUUGGCAGUAGAUUGUUCUAUUGAUGCUGUUUGAAAGCGAUUGCCAGCAUAGUGCGGAAAUAAAUUCAGAUUAAAUUAUCGUGAUUAAAGCUUUUGAUUUCUUGACAGCUAUUUAUGCUUCUGUGUCUUUGAAAGAUUUGUUUAUAAAGUGUAAUAAAAUAAUUGUGUUGGUAAUGAGGAGCUACUGGCAAUUUUGCUGCCUCCAGAUCUUUAAUUGUAAAGGUAUCCUUGGAUAUAUUUGCACCAGACAAAGCACUGUGUAAAUUGUAUUAUUUCUGGAUCACGUUUUGCUUUUUUUCCACAGGUAUCACUUGCCAAGCCAAAGGCAAGCUAAGUAUUCUUUUCUAGCACGAAACUCAGAUUUCAAGGAGUUUAAGAUUCUUUCCAAUCAACGAAAUAUAGAACUUCCUAUUGUGAAAGAACAUACAUGGCUUUUUCAAAACUCUAUUGCCAGUAAUGAGUUUUGGAUUGGGUCCUUAGAGAGGAGGAAAUAGUUCUGUUCCUGCUGCAGUUAAUAGGAAGUUCUUGUUGCUGCCUCCAUCCUGUUCUUGAGGUGCUGAAAUAAUACGGCAGAGCGAGGGACAGUGAUCCUGGCUUUGGAGAGAACCUUUGCACUUUGUUUUCUCUUUUGUGAAAGAUAAUGAUGCUUUCUCUCAAGGUGGGUGUGGUAAAACAAAACACAGAAAUCUUUUUGUGCUGAAACGUCUUGCUUAAAAUUGUAUCGUUUUGUCCUAGUUUGUCUUGUUAUGUUCCAGCCUUUCACUACGGUCUAGAGAGAAUGCAGUGCUUGAUUGUAUUACUGGGGAAAAAGCAAAGGACCUGACACCAGGUUAUCAUAUGUGUUGGUAAAGGCUCAUUCUUGUGCUGCUGGCACGUUGACCUCUUACCAGGUCCAUGUUGGAGUGCAGCUCCUCUUCUAGUGAUAGUUCUGAGUGCGUACAUACAGGGCAGCCUGAGUUUGUCAUACUUAAGUCACUGGGGCUGCGCCCCAUCAACUGCAGCUUAGAUGUCAGCUCCAAGCUAGCCUCACCCCACUUGCUGACAUCCUGAGCAUGCUCUCAGACUGGGGUAGGGUUCAGGCCACCCUGCUGCAUUAUUGAGGUCAGCAGGACUAAACUCAGCACUAUUACCAGCUGAGGACUUCUGGACCUUGUGUCUUUUGAGGCCUUCCUCAAGUUGUUUCUUAGUAUCCCAAAGCACCACUGAAGAAAUACUGCUAAAACAACUCUGCACCAGUGGAGCAGUGAUGUUGAUGUAGACAAACGAAAUAACUUAAGGAUCUGCAAAAUUCCUGUUCCUUAGAUGCCUCAGUGGAACUAUAAACUUCAUGAAUAGUUGAGUUUUGUGCAACUUGUCCAGCUUGCAGAUAUUUUUGGUGAGGAUGUUGAGAGGCCAUAAUCUCAUGCUUAGUUGAUGCAGUACAGGUGAAAUGCACACACUGACAGAUUUUCCUUCUCCUUGGUGCUUUCCACACUUACUGCUUUGACAUUAAUGGAGCUUCUAAUUAAGAUCUCACAGCUUCAAUUCAUGCAAUUGAUGAAAUGCUCCAAUAUACUCUAUGUGUAGAUUGCAUAGAAAGGCACAUCAAAUCUAAAUGGAAACAGCUCGUAUCACCUUGGGGUAAUUGCAUGUAGCGUGCAGCCACUGAAAUUAGAUGUGACAAAAGCAGUUGUCUCUGUUGUCACUCAGAGCAGCUGUAGGUCACAGGGCACAGGUCUGUGAAAGCAGGGGUGACCAGGCCUGUCUGCUCCUUGACAAACGGUCUGAACUGUGUGCUCAUGGUAGUGCUCGCCAUUUUUAUGUCCAGAAUCUUGUCAAGCUGACUUUUAGGGACCCUGGCCCUUCUGAUUCCUGUUACGUUGCCCCCUUGCCCCAGAAAAGGGCUUUCCUGAGAGAUGCUCUGCUCUUGCUUUGCUGUUUAAACAUCAGCCUCAUUUUGUGAUGGCUCUUGCUGAAGUUUGCAUGCUAUCUGAAAGUCUUAGCAAGUAUCCAAACCGAGGCUGCUUGGUGGAGCUGAACCCUAUUGCUGAUGCAAAUCUCUUUUCUGCUCUUUCCAGUGGCAAGCUUUAUUCUGACAGUGUGUUGUUACCUGUGGUUUACCCAAUGUUUCUUUCCUGCAGAGCUGUGUGCCUGUUAGCUUAAAUGCUCCUCAGUGAGGCUUUGUUGUUCUCCAGCUCAGAGCUGAGAGCUAUGGAAACUGACUGCAGACUGACCCUGUAUUGUGGUAGGAAGGGAGCACAGCUAAACUCUGAGGACAAAAGAAAAUGAAUGGAAGGUAUAUAGUGAGGUUCUUCUGUGAGCUGUUGAGCUCUUCCAAAUCGGGGAAGAAAAGGAUUAAAAGUGAGGAAUGUUAAAGACAAAUCGAAGCUGAUGUUUGAACUACCAGUCCAGGAAACUCCAGAUACAAACUGAAUGGUAAGUUUUCCACUGAAGUCCGUGAAGAAUUUUUAAAGACAAAUCUGAAUGGAGAGCAGCAAGGAUUUACAUCUUUGUGUACUGGAACGGAGUAAUUAUUGGCAGCUGGAAAAGAAAUUUCAGAUUCUAGGCAGUGGGGAAAAAAAAAAAAAAGCUGGUCCAGGUCAGAGACUGGAGCUGAGUAGAUUUAAAGCCUUUAAGGGGUAAAUCUAAUGGUUUGGACACAUAUAAUAUAACACAUUUGUGGAAAUGCUGAUAAGGGAAAUGAAGUGUAUUAGUUAGGGCUUAAAAAUAUAUAUACCUGCAUUUAGAUUUUUUGAGUACGUUUUCAGGCUGGAACAAUGUCUGAAAAUAUCUCAAAUGCAUUGCUUGCGCUUCAGGUUGUAGUCAUUUAACUUUUGAGUCGCAGGUUUUUUUGCUCUUUGUAAACCUCAGAGCACAUAUCCUGGUAGACUUGGUGUUAGGGCUGGACUUGUGUGUCCUGCAAGUGUUCCCCUCCUGCUGCAUUCCUUCCUGAACUUCUAAGGACCUCCACAAGUCUGGGUUCACUUCAGAUUAUCCUGAAAGAAAGGUGAAUGUAUGUGGCCGUCACCAGCAGGGUGAGGUCAUCUGCCUUAGCUUUCUAGGGUGAUUUUUAAUGUCUGAAUUUGGACCAAGACACCAAAAGAUACAUGCAGGGGAAGAAAGCUUCAUUUUAUUUCAGGCAGGAACAUCGACUUUUUUUGUUAAUUGUUUUCUAGGACUUAACCUAUAUAUGACCUCAUUCUGGGAAACAUGCUCAGAUAGAACAGUUUUCCAAAAAUCAUUUAAAAUAGAAUAAAAAAUCCAAAAUCAAAUUUGCAACCAGUUUUAAUAGUAACAUACGGAUUUUAGGCAUAGGCAAGUACUUGACAUUUUACUGAAAAUCAAAAAAGGAAGAGAAAAAGGAAAAUAAUAAUAUAUAUUUAUAAAAUAAGUGAUGCACAGUGCAAUGGUUGACUGACCUGAGCGGUGUCUGGCUCUCCUGUCCAGCUCCUCUCUCCACGGUGUCACAAAGUAUGACAUUUUCCUUUGGUCAGUUCUCCUGCCUCCUGGAGACACCCUCCCAGCUCCUUGUGUCCCCCAGUCCUGCAGCCUCCCUUGCUGGCAGGAGAGUAUGAGAACCUGACGUGUCCUUGGCUCCAUACAGCAACAGCUAGAACGUUAGUGUGUUAUCAACACUGUAUUUAUCCUAAAGCUAAAAUGUAGUAUCAUAUCAGACAGUGUGGAUAAAAAGUCAACCAGCUGAAACCAAGACAGUAGCAAUGAUACUAAAUGAUACAAAAAAAUAGGGUGAAGGAUGUGGGUGUCUGGACAGUUCUAGAAACAGGCCCAUGGAAAGACUUAACAGAAGCAAUCUGAGAAUGGCUUGGGUAGAGAGAAGGCUUGGGAAAUAAAGAAAACAUUCUCCAACAGGAAAAGCAGGAGGAGCUUAUGGAGGUGAUGUGCAGCUUCCUCAGUGAGGAGUCCCUACAGUGCUGUGCAAAAAAACUUCGCUGCUAUCGCUGUUCUGGUACAGCAACAGUUUGCCUUUCCUCUUUGGCACUCUGUCCAGAGAAAGCAAUCUAAGAUCCUUACCCAGAGAAUUAAAUCAAAUGUUUUCCUCAGUUUUCUGCAGGGCCCAGAGGGAGUGCUUGGGUCUGGCACACCAUGCCACCCCUUCUGCCUGCCCUGUGGCCAUGUGUCAGUGCAGGGUGCGUCCUUUGGUCGCACUGCAAUACACUGCCUCCAGGUAAAACUGAAAAUAAUAGAAGAGAAGGAUAUAGCAGUAACAGCUAAAUCUUUUUUGCAAUCCCAAACACAGGUACGGGUUGGGUGGAGAAUAGCCUGAGAGCAGCCCUGAGGAGAAGGAUUUGGGAGCGUCAAUUGAAAGCUUCAGUCUGAGCUGGCAAUGUGCACUUGCAACCCAGAAGGCCAAUCAUAUCCUGGGUCAUGUCAACAGAAGUGUGACAGCAGGUCAAGGAAGGGGAUUCUGCUCCUCUACUCUGCUCUUGUGAGACCCCAUCUGGAGUACUGUGUCCAAUUCUGGAGUCCCCAGCAUGAAAAGGAUAUGGAUCUGUUGGAGCAGGUCCAGAGGAGGGCCAUGAAGGUGAUAAGAGGGCUGGAGCACCUAGGGCAGGCUGAAAGAUGGGGAAUCUUCAGCCUGGAUAAAAGAAAGCUCUGGGAAAAUGUUAUAGCAGCCUUCUGGAACCUGAAGGGAGCCUACAGGAAAGUUGGGGAGGGAUUUUUAUAAGGGCAUGUAGUUACAGGACAAGGGAAAAUGGUUUUAAACUGGAAGAGGGUAGAUUUAGAUUAGAUAUCAGGAAUGAAUUCUUUACUGCAAGGGUGGUGAGAUGCUGGAACAAGUUGCCCUGUUUUCUAAUUCAGGACCAUGUUGCUGGAAAAGCAGAAGUGAUUUUUCUGCUUUAGAUCAAUGUGAAUGCUGCAUGCUGCUUAACCUCCUUGUUCGUUUAGGAUUCAGGCCAUAGUUAAGGCAGUCUGAAAUGUUUUUGCAGCUAGCUAGUCCAUGAAGUACAGCACAUUUGGCCUAUUUUUGGAGUUUUUUGUUUGAGGCAGAGAUGUUUUUGACAGUUGCAUAAUGGACAGGACUUUUUUUAAAAUCCUCCUUGUGCGCCAGCAUCUGGUUACUGCGAUCUCGCUGCUAAUCAGCCUGUAGGUUUCAGAAACUUUCCUUCUAUUUAUUUUAUUUUUUUGCCUGUCAUGAUCCCUGUUUUUGGAGGUGGGGAGAGGUGAGGCCUUCAAAACUGGCAGUAGCACAAAGCUGCUGUUUGCAUUUUUUUAGAGCUCUCUGGCCCCAAGCAGUACAGCUGACAUUUGCAUCUUGCAUUUUGCUGGCACUUUUCAAGUUAUUUUUGUCACCCUCUAAAUACCCUCUUUGCCCCCACUGUAUUCUAGAGGGUGUGUUAGAGAAGCAGCACCAAGGGACGAAGUGAUAUCAGACCAUCUUAGAUGGCUUUCUGUGGAAAGCAUUGGGACUCCGUGUCCCUUUGGUACAGGAAAGGAAAAUUUUUUUAUUUGAAUAAGGCUUCAGAGAAUUUCAAAUGCUAGAGCUUUGGGAGAGUCUAUUUCAUGUUUUCAUUUUGAUUAAAUUUAGAAUUGUUCAUUUUUUCUGUCAAAAUGUAUAUUUGUAGGCAAUGAAUUUGAUAUGCUGAGGAGAUGCAGAUCACUUCACUUUCUGUGAUCCUUACAAUGAAGGGUCAGGAGAAGGCAAGACUUGGUAGCUGGCGGUACAGGGAAGUCCUGGCUUGUCUGGCACUGCAAUAUUCCAUCCAUCUGCCCAGGAUUUCUGUCUGUGUUCGGCUCAGAUAAGCAAUGUGACUGUGUUGAUUUCUGUCUGUAUCAGAGGGGAUUGCACUGGGCAGGUAUUUUGUAUUGUGCAUUGCUGCUGGCUUGUUUUCUUUUCAGUUGCUCUUUCAGAAGAUCUGAGCUCAGGAUAAACAUCCACUCUGUGCUGCUGAGUACUGUGCUUGGAGCCUUCAUACUCAAGUGGAGUCACUCAGAGGAACAAGAUUGCUCUGUGAACAGACUCCUUCCUUCUGUGAGUAACAAGACCUCCGGAUGUGACUGCAGUGAUCCCAGCUGGCACAGAAACUGCUAUGAUGCUAAGAUGUGCAUUACUACGUGUUGGUUGGUACCAGCCUGCUACCUGCCUCCCAGCACAGAGCUGCAUAGCACAGCAAGCUGUAUGAGGCUCUCCUUCCUCAGCAGCCCUUGCUGGUGCUCCUAUGGUUUGGUGCUUGCGUGAGGAAGCGAGAGGAGUAUGAGGAGUGCUGCAUUCUGCUGGGUCACUGGUGCUGGGCGGAAACUCCAGCUCUAGAUGAGUGCAAGGCCUCAACUUUAUUUUUUAAUAUAUGUACAUCUAGGAAACAAAGAGCCACCACUACCACUGAUAACAACAGUCUGUACCAAGUGCUCUGCACCAGUCAUCUGACCACAGCCAAAGCCACAUUCAAAGCACGGCAGAGUCCCUGGAAGAGCUAACAUUGAUUUAACAAAGCGAUGCCAGAGGGAACAAGUUAGAAGAAAUGUUUCCAUGGCUGUCGGUUUCUUUUCUUUUCCUUUCUUUUUCCUACAUCUUCCUAUUACUUUUUUUCAUCUUCAAUUUGUACUUAAACCCUCCCAACCUUUCUGAGAGUCAGAAGAGUGGUUCUGAGAGUCAGGAGCCUCUCAGAAAAGGUCAGACAACCCAACUGCACAGUAUUCUGGUUUUCCCAUGGGCCUUCCACUAGUACUGGCACUCAGUCAAAGCAAACGUGUUCUAUCUGUCAGAAGCAAACUUUAAAGCUUGGUGAUGUGUCUAUAGCUUAAGGUACUUGUACUUUUUUAUGUAUACAGGUUUUAUAUCUCUCCCUUAAAUAUAAGCUGGCUUUCAUUUUCCUUUAUGAGCCUGAUCAUUUUUCUAUACUUUUCAAUGAGAAUUGCAUCGGGCUUCUCACUGCCUUUUACAGGGCAGCAUUGAUCUCUCUCCAUUUUGCAGGGAGCUGAAUGGAUGACUUUGUCUAACUAGAGGAGCUUAUCCUUAGUGUUUACAGUUCAUUUCAGGAUAUCUUUCAGUAUGACUGAUCUAUAAAUGCUAAUUGUGGGUGGGCUAGGUGUUAGGGGACCUGUGCAGUCUUGCAGUUUAUGUAUAGGCAAUAUAUUGCUCUUCCUAAGGUUAAUAACAACUGAUUUUUGUUGUAUUGCUCUUCUGAGAGAGUAACUCAAUUAUUAAUUUUUAGUUGUACACGCAGGCAGAAUCCUGUUUGUUUCACAAAAUGCAAAUAAAUGCUCUGAGGGCUAACUGCAGGAGUUUCUGCAUAAGCUACAGCUUAACUCCAUAGAACAUCACCCCAUAGCUCACCCAGGAACUGAGUGGGUCAUCAAACCCAGUGUGUGUUCUCAACCCCACCUUUCUAAAAGCACCUCAGCUUGCAGGAUGCCUUCUCCCAUGUGGUCUCAUGGUGUCUCAAGCUGCCCAAUCAGUGUGCUGCGUACCAUGGGGUUUUCAUGACCUUCCUCAUCUGUCUGCAUGUCCUCCCUUAAGUUAUAUGGAAGCUAAGAUGUGUUCUCUACUGGUGUCCUUGACAUGGGCUAAAAUGGAGGACAGAACCUCCUGAGAGUUUCUAAUUGUGUGGUGGUCUGACAACUCAAAUGAUUUUGGUGACUCAUAAGGAGGCACAAAGGCCACUUUUUUUUUUCUGACUGUGAAAAUCAGAUGGCAAAACCCAAUAAAUUAGGCCUGAAAGAACUGAAAAACCUCUCUUUAGUUACCUGGGAAGGCGAAAAGGAAGAGGAUCAAUGUAUUCACUACAAAAGAAUCACAAAGUUUCCUUUCUGUCCUGUCAUCCAUAGUGUCUUCAAAAACACUUCUUCCUGAGACAGAGCUUGAACUGGUUCUGUUUCAACUUCAGCCCUUUACACUAUUACAGCUAAUCCCCAGUGGAAAUAUUUCUUUUCCUUUCAUUACUUUUUGUGCAAAUAUUUAUACAGUUAUCUUGCUUGUUUCCUUUAAUUCGUAUCCCUUUAGACCAAAUAAAUCUAGUUCUUGUCAUCUUACUUUCAAGGUUGUAUUUUUAAGUAAUAAAGCAACGUUAAAUAUAGUUGGAAACAGACAACAUAAGGCACCUAAGAUUUCACAGUAAUUCAGGCUUUUGGAGACAAUAGUGUCCAUUUGAUUAAGACCAGCAAAACAGUGUUAUGAAUUAGUCCCUUGUCAGGAGUUUCUGAGCAUUUGAAAUAAUAACUGUUUUUUAAAAUGAUUUACGUGUAUGUGGUGUAAAAGCCUAUUUUUGAGAUCGUGUGUAAACUCUUCAACCUGUUUUAGCAGUAAUUACAGUGAGAACAUAGAUAUUUAAUUUCUAAACACUGAAUUAAUUUUAUCUUGUUUAAGCACCAUGCAAUAACUUGGAAACUCUUGUGACAUCUGACAAGGGACUUCACAGUGCCUGAUGGAACCUGUUGCGUGCUCCCUCACAUCCUGCUCUGGCAACGGUAACACCAUUCAUCCUCCAGCUAGUGGGGCUGGGAGGAAGUCCAGGUUUAUUGCUCUUUCCUGGGGGAACUGGAAGGUUCAGGAAAUUAUGGGAUUUAGAGAUUCUUAACUUCUGAGACAUUUGCUUCAACUGCUCGUAACUGAGAAAUUCAAUGUGCCGCAUUCAUAUUUCCAAUGGUUUGACCAGUCAUUUGAGCUUUGCAAACUCACGCUCUUGGCUCUAAGCCCUGGAUAUUUUAAAGCAGGCUCAUAAUGAGUGAUAGGAAGUUACCUUUUCCAGGUGACACUCUAGACACUUUUUGCCUAUGUACUUAGUUUAAAUUUACCAAGCAAGUAAGCAAUAAAAUAAGGUCCGUAGAGGUAUAUAAAACCAGAGUUGCUUGGAUUUACUGCCAAGAGAUGCAUGAUGAGUAUGAUUAAGAGGCACUUUAUGCUGACUUUCUAAUAAUUCUCUGCUAGAACAUGUACUUCAGACAGUUUUGUCAGCUUUAUUGUUACUUUCUAAUUUUGGUCUAAAGAUUUUUAUCAGAUACGAUUUUUCCCUUUAGGGAUUAUAGGAUGUGUAAAUUUUUGAUGAUGAGAGAGUUCCUGUGAUUCAUUCCAGGACUCCCGUGUUUAAGAUGAAGCUCCUCACCAGUGUCAGUAGGAAGUGUUGUUUUUUACUCACUCUGAAUUCUUUUCUUGAAUCUUCAAAUCUUCAGGUUUUUUUUAAUAUUAUUUAUCAUAUAGAAAAAAAAUCCUUUAUGUUUGAGACGAGGGGUCUGUAUCCUAGUGUGAAUAAAGGAAGUGUUAUUCUUCUCAUUAUUGGAAAGAAAUGGAGCUGAAUUCAUAUAAUUUUGCUCGUAUUACCACUGAGUUCAGACUGUGAUUGUGCUGAAAGAAUGUAGAAACUGAGGUCAUCUUUGGAAACCUACUGCCCCAAAAUUAAAUAUAUUAUGGUAUCUUCAUUUUCAUUAUGAAAAUUAUUUCAGUCUUAUCUUUUAAAAUAAGUAUUAAAAUUGUAUCCAUCUUAGCCAUGAGUCAAAUGUGUUUUGGACUUGACUCACUUGCCCAGCAUCAGUGUUACUGCUCUCAGUCUGUCUGGAUUCUUGCUUUGGUCCAAAAGGGCACUGGUGACUCAUAACUCCAGUGUCACACCAUCUGGACCUGCAUAGAUAGAACUACAUCAAACCACGCCUCUAAUGCCUAGGAGGACCUUGAAGAAAAAUAAAAUAGAAAACUAAACUUCGCCGUUUCUUGGGAACAGCAGGGUGAAAACUCAUCAAAUUUUUUUCUUGUAAAAUAUUUUGACUUUCCAGUAACAGCCUACAGAGACAACAUGAAUCUACGGGCUCAAUUCAGAUCCAUAAGCGCAGGUGUCCAGUUAUUUACUAGCAAUCCUGCCUGACUUCCUCAAUCCUAUCUGCUAACCUUGUAAGCACAUUUCUGGCUGCAUAAAUGCCCGCCCUUUGUCAAGAUGAAUCUAUAGGCUCUUUUGUCUGUGUCCUGGCUUUGGGGGAAGUUGCCCACUCAGCUAUCAGACAGAAGCACUUUGGUGUCCAGUGCAAAGAUGUGCUCAUGCAGUUCUCCUGGCUGCCGGAUACAACUCCAAAGGAUGAGAGUGUUGCAAAAAAAUGUUGUGCCAGGACAUCUGAGAUAUUUCUGCCUGGUAGCAGUCCAUUCCACCUUCAGAAAACUGUAUCUGGUAAGGGAUGGGACUCAUUUUACCUAACUGUAGAGAAGCUACAGUCUUCGCCAGUUUACAGUGGGAGUCUAGAUUCCUAGCUUAGAAAUAUAGGCACUUUGAAAUGGGUUUUGUGAUGAGGAGCUGUUUAGGAUGAGUGAGGUGAUGCUACCUGCUUCUUACUUGUGAUUGAAGAAGAAACCUAGGUGACUAAUUCAAAUUGCAGCCUUAGAGGGUAUAUCUACACGGGGUAAGGAAACCAUAAUGAGCCUGCAAGAGAGCACAAGGGCACAGCCAGGUAUGGCUUUAGUACACUACCACUACCAAAAUAGGAAUGCAGCCUUGUUGCUGUAUUCAGGUCCAAAGCCAUGCCUUGGGGGUGGCUGUGGCUAGGCUGUUGGCUGUAGGGCAGACAGCCCUUGGAAAACAGCACAGAAGGUAAACUCCAUUGCAACAGUCACCAUAUGGACCAAGCUAUGGAUCACCAAACUAUCCCAUCUUGUUUCAAAAAUGCACAUUAAUUCACUCAGUGGCUGUCAAAAAUUCUAUGAAGUUCAGUGUGGAUUUGCUUAAAUAUUUACCCUUUUUCUCAGUGUUUUUCUGUUUGCUUUGUUUUGUUUUGGUGGGACUUGCCAAAUUCCACGUUCUUGCUGCACUUUAGGAGUAUUUAUGAUCAUUAGCUCUAGAGUUAACAUGUCCUUUUCUGGGAGGGUUGUGCUAGGCCUGCAGUAGACAUACUUCCUUCUCAGGGAGCCUUCGUGUCUCUUUAGAAAUCCUCAGGUCAAACUGAAGACGCUCAUUUCCUCUUUGUGGCAAUAGAAAUUCCCCAGGGAAAGUCCCGGGGCACUUGCCCUGAGCUGUCAAACUAAAAACACAGCACUGCUUCCUCUGAGUACAUGAUGAACUUCAUAGUUGUGUGACUCAUUUUUCUAUUCCCUUUGUCUUCGCUUCAUUCUAUGAUAGUUAUAUAUAUAUGUGGACGUAUACAUACACAUACAUACUGUAAUUGGGAACGUGGAUGGGCUGUGCACCUACUUGUAUUUCAGAAAGCUAGAAUUAGGCUUUUGGUGUUAAAAUUGUAUCCAUGCCCUGAGUUGUGGUUCAGCUUUUCUUUCUCACUGUUUCCUUAGUAACCAUAGUUACUGCACCUUAAUUACUGUGAGCUUAUUUCUCUGAGAUUCCUUCUUUUACAAUUACUGGUGUAAUUUCUUACAAAUUCCAGCAGAACCCUCCCACAAUGAACACCCCAUCUCUUCCUCUGGCCUCGAUCCCUUUCCUGGCCUAACUGUUCCACCCGUAAAUAAAACCUGCCCCAGUUUGCUUUGUGAUUGGUUUCCCACCAAACAAAAUUGGUUAGUCACCAAUUUACCUGUACUCCUUUUGGUUGAUGAGAGCACCUGAUGCCACCUGUGUCUAAUCUAAAGAAAAUAACUAGUGCUCCUGGCUCCUGCUGAGUAUGGUGAUGCUCAGCAGUAAAGCUUAGAAGAUUGAUUAUCCUGAAUCAUUUUCACCAGCUACCAGAGCUGCUAGUAUUUUUUUUUUAAUAUAUACUUGCAGUGCCUCUCUUCUUAAAAAGUAUGCAAGGAUUUCAGGUCUUUGGCUAGCAGGGGAGCAUAAAUCAUCAUGGACACCGUGAUGCUGAUGAUUUGUAUUCUUGUAGCCCCUAUUCCAUAGUCCUGAACAGCUACAAAAUAAAAGGCAUUCCCUUGUCCUAGAUGAUAGAUAAUCUUGGCAUAGAAGAAGGAAAAUAGCAGAUGGAUAGAGAUGCAUGGGGGAAUACAGUCGGUCUGGGUCAGGAUGGUGCCUGUCUAACUGCAGUUGAAUUUUUGAGGCUUUAUGACUGGAUCAUUUCAAAGGAGAGAUACAACAUAAAGAUGACUGUUAUUGUGCUAUCAUAAAAGAAAAGGAGGAACAUUUUGUAAUAUAUCUAAUAAGUAAUGAAAGUCUUUCCUUUUUUGCGUGAUACCUGUUUACACUGCGGACUUCUACAUGAAUAAAUCACUGCUGUAGUUGUCACAAUCCAAACCAGUGCACUGCCAUAAAAACAAAAGCUAGACCACGACACUUUAUUAUUAUUAUUGUUAUUAAUUUUGAUAUAGAACAUGGCUGUCAAAAAUGUUCUGGCUAGGUGAGCAGAAUCCAGUUUAAGAUUGAUGCCUUAGUGCAGGUGCCUAUAGCUCUUCCUACUGUUGCAUAUUCCCAUUUCAGUGAGCAUAGAGGGCAUUGGCUGAACAGCCAUCAGCUGUCUGAACAGCCAUCAGCUGUCUGCUAUGCAGUGAGUCCAAUCAUUCUUAGGCUCCCUGAGCUGCAUUAGUUGGGUUGUCACUGAGUAUAACAGAGCUUGUUGGUUAGAUUUCCCACUAAGUUCUUGGAACUUGGAGGCACAGCCUAAAUUUCCAACAUGUGCCAUCCUUUUGCCAUCUUUUAAGUGCUCUGCUCAAAUGUAUCUGCUCAAUCUGAAGUCUCCAGGUUGGCCAAUAGAUCAUGCUUUUUAGAUGUAGGUUUACUGUAAGACUGGUAUCAUAUCUUGCUAUACUGAACAUCUCUGAUUCCUCUGAAUACCACAGACGUCACCAGACAUCAGAGUUAGGGUGACUAAUUCAGUUGUCCUUGUUCUUCAAUGCUUAAGAAGCCUGCUCAGAUCCUGCCAACAUGAUGUACGUCUUCAUGUUGGUAAUCUCAAAAGCUGGUAUAUGAGCAGUGGCUAAAGGAUAACUUGGUAACUAUCUCUUUCCUAGUGUUGGAGGAAUGCUCAGCCUAGAUCUGUACAGUGGUAGCAUCCCAUUAGGGACAAAGAAUUUGAUGUGGGAGUGAAAGAAAGCUAGUAGGCAGAGAUCCUACACAGCAUGUUCUCAGUCAAACACUUUAGGUUGCCAUGGCUUUUACUACAAUCCACUGUCAGUGCUGUAUUCUUAUUUUGAAUGUCUUGUCAUGCACAUCACAUGAACUGAUCGCUGUCUCUGCACUCUGUACCAGUGACUCAGCUCAGCAGGGAGCAGAUACAGCAGGAGCUACUCAUCAGGUAACUGUGAGUGGCAUCACUGCUACAGGGAUGCAGUAUGCUUUCUGCAGACUGGAUGCAAACCUUCCCCUGACACCAGGCAAACCCACGAGCUGCCAGACUCUGUGGUUUGUGCCCUCAUGACAGGGCUGUGGUGUUGAUGUGCCUUUCACUUGCUGUAGUAUUGCACAGGCCGGGUGCACCUCACGGAUCUAUGGUGACAUCUAACAAGCACACAAGGGCAACCUUAGGGCCAGGAAACUAACAGAUCCAUGCUUUGGUCCUGCAUCUUGUGCAUACAGCCCACUGAGGUGAAGACACACUAUUUUCUCAGUGUUACCGAUCUCAUCUACCCUUCUUCACUCUCUAUGCUCACUUUCCACUUUAUUUUGUUGCAUUUUGCAUUUAGUUUUGUGGAUAGACAAUGGUGCUGGGCUCAUGCACGCUAUCUGACUUGCACCAGUGCUAACACGAGCUGAUCUGAAGUGAAUUACUCAAGGUCAGGGAUUUAGCUUGCAUCCUAUGGUUUUGUACACGGGGCUGUACAAUAAGUCCUUGACUGGGACAAGCAACUUGCUUUAAUACAAGAGAAAAAGACAUUUAUUUGCAAGGAGAGCAAGACUGAUGCUGCUGUUCUGAAAAGCAGGCAUAAGGAAGGAUGUAAAUUUUUGUUCAUGUCUAAACUGUAUGAUUUUCUCUAUAUUGUUAUAUUGAUUAGCUUUGCUAGCCUUCUCCAUUCUCAGAGGAGAUAAAUGCUUGCAGUAAAAGAAUUCUUGGUUAUUUCAGGAUACACCUCUUUUACAAAUGAAAAGAAGUGUUAGAGAAUGAAGCAGCAGCACUGCAUCAGUGUAUGAAACUGUGUUACGUGCAGAAACAUCCACAGAGGACCAGAACUGUCUGUGUUGGUUUGUUGCCAUGCAGAGAAGCCACAAUUAUAUGAAUCUAUUAUUUUACUGAAGUGGAAAUAGGAAUACUUUUCAACCAAAGAUUACAAAGAUUGCUUUUAAAUUUCAGUUUUUAAAAGGAUAUUAGCUAUUAAGAGAUGUAUUGGAUAGUGUCCCCUUAGUUUUGAGUAUAGCUUGCAAAAAUAAAAAUUUAAUGGCUCCUCAUGGCAGGCUGUAUUUAGACUUUGAGGUGGUUUUGUGCUCACUCAGAAAGUCAGUACAAAGCUUUGAUUUUUUUUAAAGUGCAGGGCUGCAGUGAUUCUACAUGAAUUCCUUUCCAUACUACACCUGUUUUACAGAGCAGACCACUUGUGAGGUUUCUAACAUAUACAUAAUUCAGGGGGGAAGGGAAGAUUUUGAUACUAUUUGUCUAGCAGCUUUACUAAAAUUUACUCAGAAUUGUGUUCCCAGGAAAGCACAAUUUUAACCACGUGAAAGGUUGAAAGAGCUUACUAAUCCUAAGAGAAAGAAACUACAGAAACAUGUCAAAUCUAGUUGUUGUAAUUGGAGGUAUUACAGAAAACAGAAUGUCAUUUUCUUCCAAAGAAUCAGUCUCCAUUCAUUUACAGGAAGUGUAAAAGGUUAUGAAACUUCCCUGAAAGUAUACAAAUACAUUGCAUGAGGAACACCUUAAAGUUUGUGAAACAAAGGCAGCAUUCUUAGACUAUGCCAUAUCUGGCACUUCUUGUAAAAGACCGCUUGGAGUGAUUGCUCCAAGGUGGAGCAAGCUGGUUUGGAUGAAGUUGAGCUUCUCCACAAUGGCCCCGUAUGGUGCUGUGUUCUGAAUUUGUAGCUGAAACACACCAAUGGCUGCUGCUAAGCAGUGCUUUCACAGCAUCCAAACUCUCUCCUUUUUCCACUCGGCCCCCAUGGGAAGCAAGUGGGCAGGAGAGUGGGAGGGCAACACAGCUGGGACAGCAGAUCCAAAUGGACCAAAGUGAUAUGCCACACUGUAAGGCAUCAUGCUCAGCAAGAAAAGCUGAGGUAGGAGAAGAAGGGGUGGGCCAAUGUUCAGAGACUGGCAGGACAUCGGUCUGCCUGUGCAGUCUCCCAUGUUUCACUUCCUUUAUUCUCUUCCUUUACUGAUUAGAUUUUAUCUGACACCACAGGCUCUGUCCCCUUUGUUCUUCCUAUGUUCUCCUUCCAUCCUGCUAGAGGAGAGGAAUGAGCAAGCAGCCCACCAUGGUCCUUUUUGGUGCCCAGCAUGGGACUUGAGAGGUUUAAGACAAGGAGAGAUUUGAUUGAAUGGUACCUCCUCCUUCUCCUCUGGGACAGAAGUUGCCAGCCUUGAGCAAUUACUCUUUAGGUUCUUGGGCAUCCCUGCACAAGGGCUGUCAUACCAGUGUAGGCCAUGAACAUGACUUUGUCUUUUCUUAAGGGUAAUCAACUAGCAGGGAAUAUGGCACAGGAAUCUGCUCACCCAGAAGACAGGUGAUAAAGAGGGAAAGACGAUCUGGACUCUGUACUGGAUCCGGCUGGGAUGGAGUUAAUUUUCUUCAUAGCAGCCUAUGUGGCGCAGUGCUCUGGGUCUGUGACUAAAGCAGUGCUGGUAGCACACCAAAACCAUAUAGCAACUGGUGUGCCAACACAGUCUGACAUCAAAGUGCCAUCACGUCUCCAAAGAACUAUCUCCAAAGGACUGAACCAAAACCAAUGGAAAUUCAGGACCAUCUUUAAGCAUACAUCAGUGUGUUCCAGGCUCCUGGUAGGGCCCUGUUUAGUGAUAUUUUUCACCAGCUUCUUGUGCCAUCUUGCAAUUUACAGACGUAACCUGAAGAGUUCUCUUUUGCUUUGGGAUUCCAGUAGUUGUGCUAAUACUUUAUUAUCAGGUGUGUAAUAUAACUUCUUACUUAAGGAACUGGUGCACUUGGGUCACUACUGCUAGAAAUGGACUUUAUGCUUUGUUUUGCAGUUUGUGCUGUUCUUUUGCAGCUAUAUAAACCUGUAGGUAAUAACAUCACAGUUAGCUUACAAUAAUUUAUGCUUGGAUGAAGCCCUGAAGCUCUACUGCUAUAAACAAAAUCCCACAGUUAGCUGUAUUUUGAAUUUACUAGCCAUCUCAGACAGAUAUACUAACUCUGGAAGCCUGGAAGAGUAAUCAGUAAUCAGCAAGUACAUUACAUUCUCAAUUAAUUCACUGCUGCAGGUCCUAUGAAGGGCUUGUUUCUGCCUAUGUUUAAAUGAUGCUUCCUUUUUUUUUAACAAUGCAUUUUGUAAAACCAGUAUAGAGUCUAUCUGGCAGCAAUUCAUUUCAUUCACUUUUAAGUCUGUUAGCUUAGCCAUCUUGUUUUCCUAAACUUCUCCAAUGGUUAAAGAAGCAAGGACCUUUUCUUUGUCAUUUUUCACUUCUUCACUUUAUCUUAUAGUAGAAGACAGUGAGAACUGACAGUAAACCUGUAGAGCAAAUCAGUCAGUGCUGAGGACCUGGCCUUUUGAACAUGAACAUUUUGGAGAUCUUUUUCGUCUUGAGACUAGCCCUAGUCCACUCCUAUGGACUGAAUGCCCACUGCACCUGCAGUGCAUUAUGUGCACUCCUGCACUUUAUCUUCCAGGUUGUUUUAUCUAAAAAAAUUAAGCUAAUGUGCUUUGAGACUCUGUGAAUCAUAAUGUGAACCAAAGCCCAGUAGGUGGAAGGACUGGGAAGUUAGUGGUAAAAGCACUCUUCUGAUCCAGACUAAUGCACUAAUAGAGACACACCCUUGAAGAAAGAGACACUUCUUCAGGCCUAAAUUUAAAUGUUUAUAUUAGGAUUAAGUGAAUCAUGACCUAACAGUUCCAGUUUUCUGCAGGGGACUCUGAGCAAGUAGUUAGAGGCACAGAAGCUGAAGAUGUCUGAUGUUGCACAGGAAGCUGACAUCCUUCUGCAUCUCAGACAGAUGACAGAGAUGUAGUUGUCAUGCUUUUUGCUGUUGGUUUUUUUUGUUGUUGGUGGUGGUGGUUUUUUUUUGUUUUUUAGUUAAAUUGAAUCACUUCUCAUUUUCCAUCAUUUUCAUACCCAGUAUGCUAAUCAUGAUUUCUUUCACAAGUUUUAUUCAUUUCCUGAUGUUUUCUUCCUGGCUCAAAACGUCUCACAAACACGUCAGCCAUCACUAGCUUUCACCUCACCAUCUGAGCGCCAACCUCAUUAAAUCUCAGGACUGCAUAAAGGAAUACUGAAAGAAGGUUUAAAUCAUAUAUUGGUGGAUAACUGACAGCACUGAGAACCUGUGGUCUAUGAACAUACCAAAUUAUCAAGCUGCUUAAAUAAGUAAUGAAUACUGCUCACACUAUCUGCAACAAGCAUUCCUUUGUAAUGUAGAUGAAAGAACACACCAAAGCCAUGAUACUGGAGCUGUGUCUGCUCAAAAAACACUGCUGAGGGUGAUUUCUCCUACUCUACAUUUUUAGUCCUAAAACUAUGCUGUGGGAUUUGUUUUCCAUUUGUGUGUUUGUUUGCUUUUUGCAUGCUCUCAGAACUACAGGUUAUUUUACAGCUGUAGGCCAGCUAUGAGUUGUGCUACAGGGUGACACGUUUCAUGGAAAUUUAAUGCAAAUAGUAAUCAUUCUCAUCAGGAGCAGAAACAGGAGAUCUCUCACAUUUCUUGCAUCUGCAGACACCUGCAUGAGAGUGAACUCCGCGAGAGUGAACUGCUCAUGUUGAGCCAGCUCCCUUACAAAACAUCCAGCACAAUGGAUGUUUUUUACAACCAACAAACUCAAAAUUAAUGCUCUUGUAUGCCUGGAAACCUUUAUUUCAUUUUCAUACUGAAAGAGAGAAACAUUUCCUCUGAAGAAUGUACUAAUGCAUAAAAACAUGCAGCAUAUUCUUUUAACAUGUGUUCGUUCCAAUGUUUACUUUAUCUCCUGAUCUUAACCUGUAGCUUCCCAUUACAAAGAACCAUUGCAUAAAACACCACAAACAAAAAAUGCCACCAUUUUAAUGUUCUGCAAGUGUGCUACAAGUAAACUGUACUGUACUGAAUUGGAUCAAAAUACUCCCUGCAUUUUGAGCACACUACCACCAAUAUAUUGCUGGGCCACUUUGCCACAUGCAGAAGGACAAUGCUGUGCUUAUUGACUCAUCUCUUUAUUCUGAACAGAGGGAACUCGCUUGGAUGCCAAUGGUCCAUUCAGCCCAGCCAAACACUCAUUUAAAAAACAGUGAUGUCUUUUCCAAGCACACCAGAGGCUGCCUGUACUGUACAGAGGCUGCAAGGUGGGUUCAAGCUGUACUAUGGGGUGUUACAAAGCUAAGCAAGCUAAUUUUGAAAUAUUGCACACACUUACUAUAUUCAGAUGAUAUUAGUUACUGCACCAGACUCCUUGAGUGAAUAUUCCUUAGGAUUACUUGUUAAGGCAUAACUCAGCUUGUCCAUAUCAGAAGAGUUUUCUAUACUUUGUUCACUCUUCAGUGUCACCUGCAGUAGUAUUACAGCUCUUCAACUUGCAACCUCUCAUGCUCCAUUCAGGUGACAAGAACACUUAAUGCAUGGGUGGCACUGAGCAGAUAAAGGGCUAGAGGGCUUUUACAGGCUCUACUAAAGUGCUUUCUUCAGACUAGAAGUGCACAAUACCAUGGUGAUAAGGCUGUCCUGUGCUGAUCUAAGGAAGCCUGUGAUAAGGAAUAUAAUAGGAGCAAUAAGAUAAAGAAAAAUCUUUCAUUCCAUAAACUGUGUAUCUGCGUAUACCAACUGCCUACAGAGUGUUUUCUGAAGGUCAUGUUUGCAAAGUGUUGCAUGCUCCAGCUCCAUCUUAAAUGGUUUCAUGCCACAAGGUGUGGGCCACUUAUUGCUUGUCACUCCAAAGCCAUUGAACUCUUCAGCUGUGCAGUCUGCUCCCUCCAGCCUUCCCACUGAGAAUAAACAAUUGGCAGGGAUAGGGAGAAGGGGACAUCCAAGAAUGACAGGAAGGGCCAACACAGAAAAAAGCCAUGCCCUAUACAGCAAAGGAUUGAGCUGGUGUUUUAGUGCUAUGCACAAUAGUUUAACUAUGUGAAUUAGCCCACACAGCUGUAAAAAUCACUGGGCCCAUGAUAAGAAAAUGAAAGACAGUAUUGUUGAUGGUUUCUGGUUUUGCUUGUUUGCUGUUAUAUCUCACUCUCUGUAUAUCUGCCUUAAUCUGUGAAGGAUCAGCAACCAAUAAAAACUGCAUUUCUGA